CACUUAGAAGAUGGGCAAGAGGUGUAAAGAAGCAUUUCAUCAGUGAAGAUAUACAAACUGCAAAUACGCACAGCAAAAGGCAUUCAACUUUCCUAGCCAGGAAGUGACAGGAGAUGAGGAUAUUCAGGCUCAGAGAGCAGUUUGCGCAAGAUCUGGGGUUUGACAGAGCAAACUCUAACGGGACCUUCCUCCAUUCAGCAAACAGUCAUCUCACCCGUUUCUCAACACACACCAUGGUGACAAUGAUCAACAACAGCUCAGGGGAGAGCUGAAUGUGAAAGCAGCAUUUCUAAGGUGCAACCCCAGGGAUAGCAAAAGCCUUAAAUUAUAGGAAGCACAAUGCUGAAGUAGAGACGUUGAAGAAUGAACAUGAACAUGAACAAGAGAUUUUGAAUGAAAGUGAGGAUGUUGCUAUGGUCCUUAUUUUACAAUAUUGUGUCAUUUACUUUGACUAUUUUUUAUUAAAAAGCUAACCCCUGGCUCCCUCCUAAUCCUUUUGCUCUCAGUUUCUGGCUCUCACAAUGGGAAAUAAUAUAUAUAGUAAAUGAAAAUAUUUCUUUUCUCUCUUUUUUUGCUCUGGGAUUAGGGCAAAGAACUGUACUGGAAUCCAUUUUUAUUUAAUCAUGUGUUCUGAAUUCAAGGCCUCGGUCAAAUUAUAUGUAUUACAAAUAUUUUCCCCCACUGUGGCUUGCAUCAUUACUUUCUUCCUGGCUUCUUAGGGUAAACAGAAUUUUUAAAUUGUCAUUUGGUCAAUUUUAUCAAUUUUAUCAUUACCAUUAGUUUUUGUGUGUGUGCCUUGUUUAUUUCCCUACACAAAAGCCAUGAAAAUAUUUAUUUUAUCUUCUAAGAACAUUAUUAUUUUCCUUUCAAAUUUUAAUCUACAUCUACCUGAUGCAAUUUUUGUAAAUUAUAUAGAAUUUUGACAGGUUAUGGUGCAUCUGUGCACCAAUCAGCGGGCAAAAUGGCAUCUUAGCAAUAUUGAGUAUUACAAUCCAUGAACACAGUAUUUCUCUCAUU
This is a long non-coding RNA of Heterocephalus glaber (naked mole-rat), 1017 nucleotides long. RefSeq lists it as uncharacterized. The record is from RefSeq and is a predicted model, not a curated record. Lineage: Eukaryota; Metazoa; Chordata; Mammalia; Rodentia; Bathyergidae.